GGCAGAAGCCGUGGGCUAUAGCACACGAAAAAUUGGGACUCGCGCGGUUUUCCAAUUUAAUGGCCGUAAACAUCCGAAAAAUGUAAUUUUAUCAUGGUUGGGCGGUUACUAUGGUUCCUUUGGUCGAAUUGGAUGUGCGAGAAAAAUUUUAGACGAUUCAGGUCUGCGGGCCCGAGGUCACGGCAGAAGGCGUGGGCUAUAGCACACGAAAAAUUGGGACUCGCGCGGAUUUCUGAUUUUAUGGCCAUAAACAUCCAAAAAAUGUAAUUUUAUCAUGGCCGGGCGGUGAUUAUGGUUCCAUUGGCCGUAUUUGAUGUACGUGAAAAAUUUUAGAUGAUUUGGGUUGGGGGGCCUGGGUUCACGACAGAAGGCGUGGGCUAUAGCACACGAAAAAUUGGGACUCCCGCGGAUUUCUGAUUUUAUGACAAUAAAAAUCCAAAAAAUGUAAUUUUAUCUUGGCCGGGCGGUGACUAUGGUUCCUUUGGCCGUAUUGGAUGUACGUGAAAAAUUUUAGAUGAUUCGGGUUCGGGGGCCUGGGUUCACGACAGAAGGCGUGGGCUAUAGCACACGAAAAAUUGGGACUCGCGCGGACUUCCGAUUUUAUGGCCGUAAACAUCCAAAAAAUGUAAUUUUGUCAUGACCGGGUUGUGACUACGGUUCCUUUGGCCGUAUAGGAUGUACGAGAAAAUGUUUAGAUGAUUCGAUUCGGGUCCGGGGGCCCGAGGUCACGGCAGAAGGCGUGGGCUAUAGCAUACGAAAAAUUGGGACUCGCACGGGUUUCCAAUUUUACGGCCGUAAAUAACCAAAAAAUGUAAUUUGGUCAUGGCCGGGCGGUGACUAUGGUUCCUUUAGCCGUAUUGGUUGUACCCUAAAAAUUUUAGACGAUUCGGGUAGUAAAUAACCAAAAAAUGUAAUUUAGUCAUGGUCGGGCGGUGACUAUGGUUCCUUUGGCCGUAUUGGAUGUACCUGAAAAAUUUUAGAUGAUUCGGGUUCGGGGGCCCGGGGUCACGACAGAAGGCGUGGGCUAUAGCAUAUGAAAAAUUGGGACUCGCGUGAGUUUCCAAUAUUACGGCCGUAAAACAUCCAAAAAAUGCAAUUUGGUCAUGGACGGGGGGUGACUAUGGUUCCUUUGGCCGUAUUGGGUGUACCCUAAAAAUUUUAAAUGAUUCGGGUCCGGGGGCCUAGGGUCACGGCAGAAGGCGUGGGCUAUAGCACACGAAAAAUUGGGACUCGCGCGGAUUUCCAAUUUUAUGUGACUAUGGUUCCUUUGGCCGUAUUGGGUGUACCCUAAAAAUUUUAGAUGAUUCAGGUCCGGGGGCCCGGGGUCACGGCAAAAGCCGUGGACAAUAGCACACGAAUAAUUGGGACUCGCGCGGAUUUCCAAUUUUAUGGCCGUAAACAUCCGAAAAAUGUAAUUUUAUCAUGGCCGGGCGGUGACUAUGGUUCCUUUGGCCGAAUUGGAUGUGUGAGAAAAAUUUUAGACGAUUCAGGUCUGGGGGCCCGAGGUUACGGCAGAAGGCGUGGGCUAUAGCACACGAAAAAUUGGGACUCGCGCGGAUUUCUGAUUUUAUAGCCAUAAACAUCCAAAAAAUAUAAUUUUAUCAUGGCCGGGCGGUGACUAUUUGGCCGUAUUGGAUGUACGAAAAAAUUUUUAGACGAUUCAGGUCCAGGAGCCCGAGGUCACGGCAGAAGGCGUGGGCUAUAGCACACGAAAAAUUGGGACUCGCGCGGAUUUCUGAUUUUAUGGCCAUAAACAUCCAAAAAAAUGUAAUUUUAUCAUGGCCGGGCGGUGACUAUGGUUCCUUUGGCCGUAUUGGAUGUACGUGAAAAAUAUUAGAUGAUUCGGGUUCGGGGGCCUGGGUUCACGACAGAAGGCGUGGGCUAUAGCACACGAAAAAUUGGGACUCGCGCGGACUUCCGAUUUUAUGGCCGUAAACAUCCAAAAAAUGUAAUUUUGUCAUGACCGGGUUGUGACUACGGUUCCUUUGAAAAAUGUAAUUUUAUCAUUGCCGGCGGUGACUAUGGUUCUUUUGGCCAAAUUGGAUGUGUGAGAAAAAUUUUAGACGAUUCAGGUCUGGGGGCCCGAGGUCACGGCAGAAGGCGUGGGCUAUAGCACACGAAAAAUUGGGACUCGCGCGGACUUCAGAUUUUAUGGCCGUAAACAUCCAAAAAAUGUAAUUUUGUCAUGACCGGGUUGUGACUACGCUUCCUUUGGCCGUAUUGGAUGUACGAGAAAAUGUUUAGAUGAUUUGAUUCAGGUCCGGGGGCCCGAGGUCACGGCAGAAGGCGUGGGCUAUGGCAUACGAAAAAUUGGGACUCGCACGGGUUUCCAAUUUUACGGCCGUAAAUAACCAAAAAAUGUAAUUUGGUCAUGGCCGGGCGGUGACUAUGGUUCCUUUAGCCGUAUUGGUUGUACCCUAAAAAUUUUAGACGAUUCGGGUCCGGGGAUCCGGGGUCAAGGCAGAAGGCGUGGGCUAUAGCACACGAAAAUUGGGACUCGCGCGAAGUUCCGAUUUCAUGGCCGUAAACAUCCAGUGGUUGCCUUAGCCGCAUUGGGUGUACCCUAAAAAUUUUAGACGAUUCGGGUUCGGGGGCCCGGGGUCACGGCAGAAGGCGUGGGCUAUAGCACACGAAAAUUAGGACUCGCGCGGAGUUCCGAUUUUAUGGCCGUAAACAUCUAAAAAUGUAAUUUUUUCAUGGCCAGGUGGUGACUAUGCUUCCUUUGGCCGUAUUAAAUGUACGAGAAAAAUAUUAGAUGAUUCGGGUUGGGGGCCCGAGGUCACGGCAGAAGGCAUGGGCUAUAUCCACGAAAAAUUGGGACUCGUGCGGAUUUCCAAUUUUAUGCCCGUAAAAGUCCAAAAAAUGUAAUUUUAUCAUGGUCGGGCGGUGACUAUGGUUCCUUUGGCCGUAUUGGAUGUACGAAAAAAUUUUUAGACGAUUCAGGUCCAGGAGCCCGAGGUCACGGCAGAAGGCGUGGGCUAUAGCACACGAAAAAUUGGGACUCGCGCGGAUUUCCAAUUUUAUGGCCGUAAACAUCCAAAAAAUGUAAUUAGGUCUGGGGGCCCGAGGUCACGGCAGAAGGCGUGGGCUAUAGCACACGAAAAAUUGGGACUCGCGCGGAUUUCUGAUUUUAUGGCCAUAAACAUCCAAAAAAUGUAAUUUUAUCAUGGCCGGGCAGUGACUAUGGUUCCUUUGGCCGUAUUGGAUGUACGUGAAAAAUAUUAGAUGAUUCGGGUUCGGGGGCCCGGGGUCACGACAGAAGGCGUGGGCUAUUGCAUAUGAAAAAUUGGGACGCCGCGAGUUUCCAAUAUUACGGCCGUAAACAUCCAAAAAAUGUAAUUUGGUCAUGGACGGGGGGUGACUAUGGUUCCUUUGGCCGUAUUGGGUGUACCCUAAAAAUUUUAAAUGAUUCGGGUCCGGGGGCCCGGGGUCACGGCAAAAGGCGUGGGCUAUAGCGCACGAAAAAUUGGGACUCGCGCGGAUUUCCAAUAUUAUGGCCGUAAACAUCCGAAAAAUGUAAUUUUAUCAUGGCCGGGCGGUGACUAUGGUUCCUUGGCCGAAUUGGAUGUGCGAGAAAUAUUUUAGACGAUUCAGGUCCGGGGGCCCGAGGUCACGGCAGAAGGUGUGGGCUAUAGCACACGAAAAAUUGGGACUCGCGCGGAUUUCCGAUUUUAUGGCCGUAAACUUCCAAAAAAUGUAAUUUUAUCAUGGCCGGGCGGUGACUAUGGUUCCUUUGGCCGUAUUGGAUGUGCGUGAAAAAUUUAGAUGAUUCGGGUUCGGGGGCCUGGGUUCACGGCAGAAGGCGUGAGCUAUAGCACACGAAAAAUUGGGACUCGCGCGGAUUUCCGAUUUUAUGGCCGUAAACAUCCAAAAAAUGUAAUUUUGUCAUGACCGGGUUGUGACUACGGUUCCUUUGGCCGUAUUGGAUGUACGAGAAAAUGUUUAGAUGAUUCGAUUCUGGUCCGGGGGCCCGAGGUCACGGCAGAAGGCGUGGGCUAUAGCACACGAAAAUUGGGACUCGCGCGGAGUUCCGAUUUUAUGGCCGUAAACAUCCAAAAAAUGUAAUUUUGUCAUGGCUAGGUGGUUACUGUGCUUCCAUUGGCCGUAUUAAAUGUACGAGAAAAAUUUUAGAUGAUUCGGGUUUGGGGGCCCGAGGUCACGGCAGAAGGUGUGGGUUAUAGCACACGAAUAAUUGGGACUCGCGCGGAUUUCCAAUUUUAUGGCCGUAAACAUCCAAAAAUGUAAUUUUAUCAUUGCCGGGCGGUGACUAUGGUUCCUUUGGCCGUAUUGGAUGUACGAGAAAAAUUUGAGACGAUUCAGGUCGGGGAGCCCGAGGUCACGGCAGA
RNAcentral lists this long non-coding RNA (4346 nucleotides) under Nicotiana benthamiana. RNAcentral's name for it is "long non-coding RNA (NBEN_LNC019787)". Lineage: Eukaryota; Viridiplantae; Streptophyta; Magnoliopsida; Solanales; Solanaceae. The record is from RNAcentral.